UCCAUCAGCUAGCGCCAGCAUGAUCCCACACAGACCCUUCAUGGCUUUCCUAUUUACUACACAUUGUCAGGCAGAUUUCCAAGCAUUCAGAUAGAAGCAAAAUGAAACACAUAUACUCUAUGAGCAUAUGGCUUAUUGCAAGAAACAGAACCUAUGAGAAACCAGAGGAGACUUCUAUCAUGGAAAGCAGUGAAUUCCCCCAGAAUUAGGCCACAAUUCAUGGUCUGAAUUAUAAGAGCUGCUUGGGUCUGUCCAAAUCCAAUGUAUGGAUUACCUUGAUCCCCACUGCAACCCAGAAGCUUUCAGUUACCAGGAGCAGGACAACUGUGCUCGGAGAACAGCUUACCUGGUGCUGCUGUCAAAGAGAGAACUCAGGGCCUGACAGUUGUUCCACUGAUUCUCAAGAUUGGCUUCUGAUAAAGUGUUUACUUCC
This is a long non-coding RNA of Leopardus geoffroyi (Geoffroy's cat), 433 nucleotides long. RefSeq lists it as uncharacterized. Lineage: Eukaryota; Metazoa; Chordata; Mammalia; Carnivora; Felidae. The transcript is spliced from 5 exons. The record is from RefSeq and is a predicted model, not a curated record.